GAUGAACGCUGGCGGCGUGCCUAAUACAUGCAAGUCGAGCGAACAGACGAGGAGCUUGCUCCUCUGACGUUAGCGGCGGACGGGUGAGUAACACGUGGAUAACCUACCUAUAAGACUGGGAUAACUUCGGGAAACCGGAGCUAAUACCGGAUAAUAUAUUGAACCGCAUGGUUCAAUAGUGAAAGACGGUUUUGCUGUCACUUAUAGAUGGAUCCGCGCCGCAUUAGCUAGUUGGUAAGGUAACGGCUUACCAAGGCAACGAUGCGUAGCCGACCUGAGAGGGUGAUCGGCCACACUGGAACUGAGACACGGUCCAGACUCCUACGGGAGGCAGCAGUAGGGAAUCUUCCGCAAUGGGCGAAAGCCUGACGGAGCAACGCCGCGUGGGUGAUGAAGGUCUUCGGAUCGUAAAACUCUGUUAUUAGGGAAGAACAAAUGUUUAAGUAAAUAUGCACGUCUUGACGGUACCUAAUCAGAAAGCCACGGCUAACUACGUG
This 497-nucleotide ribosomal RNA is filed under the name uncultured bacterium. RNAcentral's name for it is "partial 16S ribosomal RNA". It matches the Rfam family "Bacterial small subunit ribosomal RNA", at positions 28 to 507 of the family's 1533-position model. The record is from RNAcentral.